Long non-coding RNA from Cuculus canorus (common cuckoo), 5582 nucleotides. RefSeq lists it as uncharacterized. The transcript has 7 exons. Lineage: Eukaryota; Metazoa; Chordata; Aves; Cuculiformes; Cuculidae. The record is from RefSeq and is a predicted model, not a curated record.
AGGGUUGGUUUGUGGACCCAUCGCUGCCACUGGCGGGGGUUCAUCGGCGUUGGGAGAGCGGGGGAGCAGUGAGGUCAGCCUGCUACUUGGCCUUCAGAGAGCGGAGCCAAGGUAAGCUCUUCCAGCAUCCCUGCAGCCGAGCCCUGGGGCAAGGUGAAUGUUUAAUACUUCUCUGCAUCCCAGUCCCUCUCUCUCUGAAGAACAUAAACCUCUGUGAAGAUGCUCAGCUUCCCUGAGAUGCCCAGAAAUGUUUCUAUUUCAUGUUGAGAGAUGAGAAAUUAGCGAGCGGCGGAUGCGAGUGGCAGACGCCAGCCCGGCCCGUGGGACCCUGCGCUGCCGCUAAUUACAGCCGCUGCCAUGGAGGAGCUGCCGUCACCUUGUGACCAACUGAAAACCGUAGCCGGGCACCCUUGAAAUGUGGAGCCUGCUAUCAUUGUUCGUGGCUUAGGAGAUUUAAAGUACUUGGAUGCAGAAUGAGGAGCCCAUCCUGCAUCCCGCCGUGCGCUGACCUUCACCAGCGCAAUCCCCGCGCUGCAGCCCCCACCCCGGGACUCUGCGGCAGAGCCAGACCUGGAGGAGAUGCCCAUGGUGGGAGAUGCUGGAGAAGAGAGGGGCUCGAGCUGCUCAGCCUGGCGUUGGCCGGAUCCAGCCUUCCCUGGUAGGAAAAGUUGCUCAGAAGCCUUAAAUCUAUGGAGGGACAAGGAUGAACUAGACUGGGAAACCCUCCUGCCCUUCCCACGGCCUCCUGCCAACCAGCACAACCUAAAUCCAAGUCUGCAGAGGGUACCGAGGCAAAGCGGAUCUCCCUCCUUCUCCUGCAGCCACCUGCUCUUCACGGGAACAUCGAUGGGGGUUUUUCUCUCUGUUCCCCAGACAGCUGCUCCCUCCUCGCCAAGGCAAGGCCAGCCAGUCUCCAAAGGGGAAAGCAAGGACAAAGCAGGGAAGGACACGGUCCCCGGGGCAGGAAUGAGAUACCAAACCAGGUGCCCGGCCGUGCGCAGCACGAGGGACCGGGCUUGGAGCAGUGCGUCAGGGGACAGAGAUGCGGAUGAGGACAGGGAUGUGCUGGCCCAGCCCUGUCGGACAGAAGGAGGGCGGCAGCGGGGCUGCGUGCUGGCUUCCCUGCAUCAGAAUAAACAUUUCACCCCCCCAAAUGAAAGGGACUCCACGGAUCUGUUCAAAACAGUUUAUUGUAUUUUUUCGUCAGACAAACACAUUGAUUUCUGGACCACAGUAGAGGAUGGAAACCUUUCACAAACUUAUUUAUUUGAAAAUACAAAUAUAAAAUUAUACUUUCCACAUCUGUGAUGUGAGAGACCCCCAUCCACAUAGUAUUUUACAACAGGGCUUUAGAAAGCCAUACACAGAGACCUGAAAGAUGCUUGAUAUAUAUAGAUACAUAUAUAUAUGUAUAUAUAUAAAAAAAAAGUCACUACCAAAGUUCUCAUCAGUUCAUACUAAAGUAUAAAAGGAAGGGCUAGGCCUGCCACUGUGCCAUAGUUUAUUUAGAUACAUUUAUGACCACCUGAAAUGCUUAGACUUGCAUCCUAGUACUGAUGGAGUUCAGACCUCGUACAACAGAGAGUGAUGGGGAUUCGCUACCUACGACGGCCGACGCGACACAGGAGCCCGGGCGUGAUGUUACGAGUGUGUACAGAACCGGGCGAGGCCUGCUUCGACACGGGGCUCUCUCGAGACAACACAGUCGGACUGUUUGGGGACCGAGAACCGGUCACGAGGAUUUACUUUCUCAAACUACAUUUUCUUUUUUUUUUCUUUUCUUUUUUUUCUUUUUUUUUUUUUGGUAAUUUUUAUUACAGUAUUAAAGUAUUGCUUAGCUUACAGAAUCUCCUCACGUAGUGUUCGCACACGGCAACGGGGCUGACUUGGAUUCUGUACGUAUGAAACUCUACAGUGUCUGUGCGCAGACCGGGAUCUGCCGGUGUGUCUUCGAUGCAUCCUGUCUCUUCACCUUACACUAUAACUUCAGAUUUUCUGUUUGAACUAUUUUCGCUUAAAAAAAAAACCAACCAAACCGCUAAAAAAAAUAAUUCAGAAAAUUCCACCCAAGAGACAUUUCCAUAGCAUAAAAGACAGCUAUGAGUUAGUGUUGUUUGUUUUUUUGUGUUUUGUAAACAGUUUCAUAUGCAAUAUCAUACAUAACCAUGGCUGGCCUUCAGUAAAAAUGUAGUAAACUAUAUUGCUUUAUUAUUGAUUAUGUUGCAUUGAGUGAAUGGCAGAAACGAAACAAGAAGGUAACUGUGGCUGGAGUCGCUAGCCCUCAUUCACACUACAGAUGAAAACAGCAUCCUAGGCUUCAGAGCAGGGAAGAAAAGAAACCCGAACACCUUUCAGGUCGUUAUUACCAACAAUUAGCCAAUGGUUUAACUAGCCUAGCAAGAUGUGUGACAUUCACCAGCGGAACGCUGCUGUACAAUGGAGAAAAAUAAGCUUACAGCAAAGAGAGCCAUGCUACCUUAAAGUCCAAGCUACAAAUUCAACUUAAAAUGAACAUUUAUGAAGAAAAAAAAAUAAUUAAAAAAAAAAAAGGACAGAUCAGGCUUCAUUUUAAUCAAGCCAAUCACAAAGAACUUGAUUAUUUUGGAGCAGGGAGGGUUACCCCAGCUCUUGGGGCUCGCUGUGACCCCUCUCGGAACGUCCCUCAUGGCUGGGGUCCAACCUGCCCGUGGCACGACGAACCCCGUGCCAGGGAGGAGCUCUGGGUGCCCAGUUCACCCGGCCGGAUGGAAAUUGCUUUUUGGUCAGGGCUAGAUGGGAUAUUUGGAAAGAAAAGGGCAAUAUCCCUCGUAAGGAUCCUUCCCUCGCUGCGCUUGACUAAAACAAAGGUGGAGCUGAACCUUUGUACUGAAAAAUUUACAAAAAACCCCCAAACAAAUGAACAAAGGAAAAAACCAAACAAACAAACCCUUUGAAAUGGAUUUCUAGAUGAGUGGGGGACUAACGUGAACCUUAGUCUAGGUAGCCACAUCAAAACAUAUCGGAUUCCACGACGUUUGUGCUAUGGGCCACUGGGACUUCUCAAAAGGUAUAUAAACAUCUAAAACAUAUUCACACAGAUUAGCAAUUUCUUCUGAGCAUUCUUAAAAAAAUAUUAUUUUUUUUUCUCUUAGUAAAAUCGUUUUAAUAUACUGUGCCUCCCUCUUUUAAAAAAUAAAUUAAAAAAAUCCAGUUUUGCAUAUCUAGCGUUAGCAUUUAAGGUAGUAUGGCACACCCCCUUUCCAAAGUCGAGGGUGGGGAUCUACAAAUGCCUUAGGAGUUUGCCAGCAUUUUUAACAUUGUGAGACCUUUGGUUAGUUGAAACCGCAUCAGAUCAGCAAAAGAAAACACAAAAACAAGAGAAAACAAACCAAAGAGGAAAGGAAAAAAAAAAAAAGGAAAACCUUCCCAAAAUUAUUAGCAAUUUUCUUAAAUAAGAGAAAGUUCUAUCCUUACUGGUCCUAAAUCUGAAUAACUACAUCUAAAUUUUUAACCUUAAUUACGAUACACCUACCAAUAUGUACUAGAGGAGGAAGAGAGAAAGAGGGGGGAGAAAUUCACUACACUAGCAUCAGGACAGCACUCUUACAAGAUAGCCAUUUUAUACACUAUUAACAUACAACAAUGAUCAACAAAGAAUAUUCUAUGAGGUGACAGGGAAUGGAGAGGAAAACCAACUGGUAGUACAGUACAUCAUCAACAUUGACAAAAUAGCAAUUAAAAAAUUCCCUGACCGUACAUUGAAUUUCAGGGAAUUUGGUUUGUUGGUUUUUUUUUUUUUUUUUCCCGUUUUUAUUUUUUAAAGAAUUGUUUUAUUUAUUUUUAUUACUUGAUCAAGUCGCAAUAUUUAAAAAGCGUCCAGCAUUUUGCUUAAACCUGGUUGUUCUGAAAUAAGAAAAAAACCUAAAAUAUUACAUAAAAAGCAUGAGUCUUUUUUUUUUUUUUAAAAAAAAACAAGAAAAACAAGGUUUUCUCCUUUCGGUUAGCAGUAUGGUGCCUUGUUUUUGUUAAAGAUGCCUUGCUCUACCUUGUCUAUUGAAUGUCUACAUUAGUCUACUCGUUAGUAAAAUUUACAAAAAUAGGAGUGCAGCAGCUCUUUUUAACAAAUGUCGCAUUCAGUGUCUUAUACUGGCUGUACCUAAAGUACCAAAUUUAUAAACGUAACAAUUUAAAAAAAUAUUAAUAAAACUUGUCAAUAUUACGUUAAAAAAAGAAGAAAUAUAUCCACACUACAGUAUGUUCUUAAUGCCACCUACCGUGUUGUACUUCUAGUUUGCUGUUGCAGGCCUAUUUACCAAUAUUAAAAAAAUUAAAUUAAAAAAUAUCCUUCAUAAGUUUCCUCCCCCAACAGAGGACCAUAUAUAUAACAGCCAAAUAUUAAACAUGUGCAAAUAGGAAACUGUCAGUUUUUCCCCUACCAGUCACAGUGCAAUGAUGUUUUAUACUUUUAUUUUUCUUUAAAAUUCUGUUUACAACUACAAUAAAUUAAAAUCUUCCGUUGCUUCUAGGGUGAAACUUGUAGCACUGAGGUAUUCCCAAAAAAAAAAAAUAAAAUAAAACACCACCAAACUUGCUUUCCUAAUUUGUUAAUACAGAAAGUAAUGGAUAAAAAAAAGAUAACCAUGCAAGCUUUCGAGCCGCUCUGCCCGCAGCAGGCGAGCGCCGAGGAGGGCCCUCACCUCCGCCCGGGCUGCGCGGGGGCUCAGAGCCACUGAAAUGACUGGACAGCAAGUCGAUCUAGUUUAAAAACCAUAACUAAAACCAAAACAAAAAAAAAGUAAAGGUGUGCUUUGAACCAUAAAUGCGUUAAACAGGAAAACCGCAGCUUCUUUUUCAGUCGUGGGAAAAGCAGUUUUGUUUUUUUUUUUUUUUAAAUUAAAAAAACAAAAAUACCACUGUUCCUUUGUAAGCUGUGCACAUCUGAUAGCGAAGAUGCUGGUACGACGCUAGGAGAGCUGGAAGGUCUACCACACCUACGGAGCAGCUGACCAGCGUGUGCACGGCCGGACUCCCGCGGGCCGGCUCCGGCAGUUGGUCACAGAGGCUACAACUGGCUUUUUUAUUAUUUUCUUCCAUUUUCAUAGAGAAACUGCCUUAGGCUGACUCCAUCACAAAAAUAAGUUUGUAUUUCUCUUUCUUAAUAGUUUAUACGUAGUUAAUGGAAUUGUAUUUACAGUAUUUUUUUUUUUUCUUCAGAAUUCACAAUUUCAAAAAACCUUAUAUCACCUCUUUCAACAAAAAAAAGCACUUAUAGAAAAAGGACGCACAAAAAGUUUGUAGUCCUUGCCUUAUUGCCGAAAAUAGAUAGAAUUAGGUUAACGAAGACGCCACAAAUGAAAAGAAGGGCUAGAGAACCUGCUGCUCACCUGCACCCCCGUGCCCUGCAAGGCCACCCCGAAACCGUGCCCGCCGCCGGCUCUGCUCCCCCCCCAACCCUUGGCGGUGGCAGAGCCGGAACCAGCGGCUGAGACUCCUGUCACCAUCUCAGCAUCCUUUAAGCAACAACGACUACGUAAAAGAGAACGGAGAAGGAGGGGGGAAAGAAAAAAAACCCAAAAUAAACCCCUUAAUAUAAACAGUUACGC